CAGUCGCCACGGUAACACGUAGGGUGCGAGCGUUAAUCGGAAUUACUGGGCGUAAAGCGUGCGCAGGCGGUUGUGUAAGACAGGUGUGAAAUCCCCGGGCUUAACCUGGGAACUGCGCUUGUGACUGCACAGCUAGAGUAUGGCAGAGGGGGGUGGAAUUCCACGUGUAGCAGUGAAAUGCGUAGAGAUGUGGAGGAACACCGAUGGCGAAGGCAGCCCCCUGGGCCAAUACUGACGCUCAUGCACGAAAGCGUGGGGAGCAAACAGGAUUAGAUACCCCGGUAGUCCCUGUCUCUUAUAC
Molecule: ribosomal RNA, 301 nt
Filed under: uncultured bacterium
Lineage: Bacteria
Description: partial 16S ribosomal RNA
Rfam family: Bacterial small subunit ribosomal RNA
Source: RNAcentral